RNAcentral lists this transfer RNA (68 nucleotides) under Aelia sibirica. Its description in RNAcentral is "tRNA-Glu". Lineage: Eukaryota; Metazoa; Arthropoda; Insecta; Hemiptera; Pentatomidae. The record is from RNAcentral.
AUUUAUAUAGUUUAAGUCAAAACCCCUUAUUUUCAAUAAGGAAACAAGAAUUUAUUUCUUUAUAAAUA